RNAcentral lists this ribosomal RNA (301 nucleotides) under uncultured bacterium. RNAcentral's name for it is "partial 16S ribosomal RNA". It matches the Rfam family "Bacterial small subunit ribosomal RNA", at positions 509 to 807 of the family's 1533-position model. The record is from RNAcentral.
CAGUCGCCGCGGGAAUACGUAGGUGGCAAGCGUUGUCCGGAUUUAUUGGGCGUAAAGGGAGUGUAGGCGGUCUUUUAAGUCUGAUGUGAAAGCCCACGGCUCAACCGUGGAGGGUCAUUGGAAACUGGGAGACUUGAGUGCAGAAGAGGAGAGCGGAAUUCCAUGUGUAGCGGUGAAAUGCGUAGAUAUAUGGAGGAACACCAGUGGCGAAGGCGGCUCUCUGGUCUGUAACUGACGCUGAGGCUCGAAAGCGUGGGGAGCAAACAGGAUUAGAUACCCCGGUAGUCCCUGUCUCUUAUAC